Molecule: long non-coding RNA, 713 nt
Filed under: Zea mays
Lineage: Eukaryota; Viridiplantae; Streptophyta; Magnoliopsida; Poales; Poaceae
Description: long non-coding RNA (ZMAY_LNC003440)
Source: RNAcentral
UUUCUGGUUUUCAUGCUGAAAAGGUUCAGGGUGAUCUUUGAGUAGGUUCCAGGUUUUUCUCAGUUAGGCCUUGUUCGUUUCUGCCGGAUUGGUGGGUCGGAACGGUUCCUAACCGGAUUGCUUCUCUAAUUUAUAUAAACUUUGAUUAGAUGGAACGAUUUCAGGUGCAAUCCGACACAAACGAACAAGGCGUUACCCAGUAGGAACUCCCCCCUCCUUCCUAACCGGAUUGCUUCUCUAAUUUAUAUAAACUUUGAUUAGAUGGAACGAUUUCAGGUGCAAUCCGACACAAACGAACAAGGCGUUACCCAGUAGGAACUCCCCCCUCCCGCCGGAUAUUUGGGUUCACUGUUCACUAAUGAAAGCUAUGCGACCGUUGCUCUUGCAUUCCAAAGUUUUCAGGGCAUGAUACGAGCCAGAAAUCACAGUGGAGAUUUCCCUAGAGAAUACGAUUUCUGUUUUAAUUCUAGCUGCAAUUACCCUAGGGAAAGCGAUUGAUGCUGAAAUGUACGCGCAAGGCAUGUGAGUUUCCAACUGAAGUUCAUUCUAAUUGAGCUGCGCGUUUUCAUUACAAAGAGAUCAGACCACAGACGCAUUGGGAAACAAAAAGAAAACCGAACAGCUUCAGGCAGAGGGGUGGAUGCGGCGGUCCGUACUAGCUGUGCCUGCGAGUGUGUGCGUCGAUGUUGAGCUCAGGCAGGCCGAUCCGCGGC